CCUACGGGUGGCAGCAGUGAGGAAUAUUGGUCAAUGGACGAGAGUCUGAACCAGCCAAGUAGCGUGAAGGAUGACUGCCCUAUGGGUUGUAAACUUCUUUUAUAUGGGAAUAAAACGCUCCACGUGUGGGAUUUUGUAUGUACCAUAUGAAUAAGGAUCGGCUAACUCCGUGCCAGCAGCCGCGGUAAUACGGAGGAUCCGAGCGUUAUCCGGAUUUAUUGGGUUUAAAGGGAGCGUAGGUGGAUUGUUAAGUCAGUUGUGAAAGUUUGCGGCUCAACCGUAAAAUUGCAGUUGAAACUGGCAGUCUUGAGUACAGUAGAGGUGGGCGGAAUUCGUGGUGUAGCGGUGAAAUGCUUAGAUAUCACGAAGAACUCCGAUUGCGAAGGCAGUUCACUGGACUGCAACUGACACUGAGGCUCGAAAGUGUGGGUAUCAAACAGGAUUAGAUACCCCUGUAGUC
RNAcentral lists this ribosomal RNA (460 nucleotides) under uncultured bacterium. RNAcentral's name for it is "partial 16S ribosomal RNA". It matches the Rfam family "Bacterial small subunit ribosomal RNA", at positions 338 to 795 of the family's 1533-position model. The record is from RNAcentral.